This 496-nucleotide ribosomal RNA is filed under the name uncultured bacterium. RNAcentral's name for it is "partial 16S ribosomal RNA". It matches the Rfam family "Bacterial small subunit ribosomal RNA", at positions 28 to 506 of the family's 1533-position model. The record is from RNAcentral.
GAUGAACGCUGGCGGCGUGCCUAAUACAUGCAAGUCGAGCGAACAGACGAGGAGCUUGCUCCUCUGACGUUAGCGGCGGACGGGUGAGUAACACGUGGAUAACCUACCUAUAAGACUGGGAUAACUUCGGGAAACCGGAGCUAAUACCGGAUAAUAUAUUGAACCGCAUGGUUCAAUAGUGAAAGACGGUUUUGCUGUCACUUAUAGAUGGAUCCGCGCCGCAUUAGCUAGUUGGUAAGGUAACGGCUUACCAAGGCAACGAUGCGUAGCCGACCUGAGAGGGUGAUCGGCCACACUGGAACUGAGACACGGUCCAGACGCCUACGGGAGGCAGCAGUAGGGAAUCUUCCGCAAUGGGCGAAAGCUUGACGGAGCAACGCCGCGUGAGUGAUGAAGGUCUUCGGAUCGUAAAACGCUGUUAUUAGGGAAGAACAAAUGUGUAAGUAACUAUGCACGUCUUGACGGUACCUAAGCAGAAAGCCACGGCUAACUACGU